RNA transcript from Drosophila bipectinata, 1083 nucleotides. It is a transcript of the gene named Vesicle-associated membrane protein synaptobrevin, with no coding region annotated. NCBI's taxonomy places the organism in Eukaryota, Metazoa, Arthropoda, Insecta, Diptera, Drosophilidae. The record is from RefSeq and is a predicted model, not a curated record.
UUGCGAUAGGCACAGAUGUCGAUUGUUGUCAUCUGAUAUAUUUAUAACUCCUGGACGAAAAUUGUGCUACACGACGCAAGUUUUCCUUGGAAAAGCCAAAUAUACAGCAGCAUUCUAACGGUAGAGAGUCAAGCAGCAACAAGCCCACAUUCACAAUGGAGAACAACGAAGCCCCCUCCCCAUCUGGAUCCAAUGUGAACGAUUUUCCCAUACUUCCGCCACCACCAAACAACAACAACUUCCAACCGAACCAAUACGGGGACCACCACAGCAACAACAAUGCAGCCCAGAAGCGACUGCAGCAGACGCAGGCCAAGGUGGACGAGGUGGUCGGGAUCAUGCGGGUAAACGUGGAGAAGGUGCUGGAGCGGGACCAGAAGCUGUCGGAGCUGGGAGAACGAGCCGACCAGCUGGAGCAGGGCGCCUCGCAGUUCGAACAGCAGGCCGGAAAACUGAAGCGCAAACAGUGGUGGGCCAACAUGAAAAUGAUGAUCAUUCUAGGCGUGAUUGCCGUAGUGCUGCUCAUCAUCGUCCUGGUGUCGCUUUUCAAUUGAAACAAUUAAACCCUUACAUACACCCCAAAAAAUACAAAAAGCAAUCGCAACUGAAAAAGAAAAACCAAUUCCGUUUUCCAUACAACAAUGUUAAGGUUCUCAGAUUUUACAAAAAAUAACACACUUAAGAGUGUGUUUCGGGCUCCUACUAUAUACGCAUUAUAUUGUAUAAUAUAUUAUAUAAUAUGUUUAAGCUAAGCAACUCCAAAACUCUAAAGUGUCCGUUUGGCCAUCUAGCAGUAACAGCGGAGGCGGCGGAGCUAAGGCCGUUACCGAGGCACCGCACUAGGUGCCUUCCAAGUCAAGGAGGAGAGAAUUGGGGCAACCACACAGAUACGGAACAGGAACUAUGGACCAAACAUUUACCCAUGUAUAUCUGGAACGGGAACCAAGCAGCAUUAGCUUUCGGCCUUAACGCACAACACGGAGAGAGAGAGGGUGGAGAGAAUCAUUAUGGAAAUUUAACUAAAAUCGCGUCUAACAUAUAUUUAACCAGAUUGUAAUUAUUAAAACUUAAUGUUAAACGAAA